AGGAUAAUAGUUAACUAUAACAUUUAACUUGCACUUAAAAAGCAUUGAAAUCACUCAAUUUAUCUUU
RNAcentral lists this transfer RNA (67 nucleotides) under Spiniphilus spinicornis. Its description in RNAcentral is "tRNA-Ala". Lineage: Eukaryota; Metazoa; Arthropoda; Insecta; Coleoptera; Vesperidae. The record is from RNAcentral.